This 397-nucleotide ribosomal RNA is filed under the name uncultured bacterium. RNAcentral's name for it is "partial 16S ribosomal RNA". It matches the Rfam family "Bacterial small subunit ribosomal RNA", at positions 523 to 918 of the family's 1533-position model. The record is from RNAcentral.
AUACGUAGGGGGCGAGCGUUGUCCGGAAUGAUUGGGCGUAAAGGGCGCGUAGGCGGCGCGGUAAGUCUGGAGUGAAAGUCCUGCUUUCAAGGUGGGAAUUGCUUUGGAUACUGCCGCGCUUGAGUGCAGGAGUGGUUAUCGGAAUUCCCGGUGUAGCGGUGAAAUGCGUAGAGAUCGGGAGGAACACCAGUGGCGAAGGCGGGUAACUGGACUGCAACUGACGCUGAGGCGCGAAAGUGUGGGGAGCAAACAGGAUUAGAUACCCUGGUAGUCCACACUGUAAACGAUGAAUGCUAGGUGUAAGAGGUAUCGACCCCUUUUGUGCCGGAGUCAACACAAUAAGCAUUCCGCCUGGGGAGUACGGCCGCAAGGUUGAAACUUAAAGGAAUUGGCGGGG